RNAcentral lists this ribosomal RNA (462 nucleotides) under uncultured bacterium. RNAcentral describes it as "partial 16S ribosomal RNA". It matches the Rfam family "Bacterial small subunit ribosomal RNA", at positions 28 to 507 of the family's 1533-position model. The record is from RNAcentral.
GAUGAACGCUGACAGAAUGCUUAACACAUGCAAGUCUUUGGCGAAGCUGUGCUUGCACAGCCUAGCCAAGGCGGACGGGUGAGUAACGCGUAAGGAACUUGCCCUGCAGUCAGGGAUAACAGACGGAAACGACUGAUAAGACCUGGUAAAGUCAGGCGGACUCAUGUCCAGCCUGAUGAAAAGAGAUGCUGCAGGAGAGCCUUGCGUCCUAUUAGCUUGUUGGUGGGGUAACGGCCCACCAAGGCGAUGAUAGGUAGCCGGCCUGAGAGGGUGGACGGCCACAGGGGGACUGAGAUACGGCCCUUACUCCUCCGGGAGGAAGCAGUGGGGAAUAUGGGACAAUGGGGGCAACCUUGAUCCAGCAAUUCUGUGGGAAGAAUGAGGGUUUUCGGUUUGAAAAGGGCUUCAGCAGGGAAGAAAAAAAUGACGGUACCUGCAGAAGAAGCGACGGCUAAAUACGUG